Non-coding RNA from Microcebus murinus (gray mouse lemur), 644 nucleotides. The record is from RefSeq and is a predicted model, not a curated record. Lineage: Eukaryota; Metazoa; Chordata; Mammalia; Primates; Cheirogaleidae.
UGAAUUGUGCUGCUACAAACAUUCGAGUGCAGGUGUCUUUUUCAUAGAGUGACUUUUGCUCUUUUGGGUAGAUCGGCCGCACACUCUUGAGUGACUUUAUCCAGUCCCAAGGUCCGUCCGUCACAAGUGACUCCCACGCUGACGCAGUGGAGGUCGUCACUGUGCCCGGCUGGGGAAUGCUGGGUGCUGCAGCUCCUCCCCCCAAAGCAGGGGCCGUUGAGGGUGCAAAUCCUCAGACAUGCAGAGGCCUCUGGGGCCAGGAAGAACCUGGACUUCAGCUGAUGACUGCGGGGCUUGGUGAUGUUUGUUCUGACUGAUGAAAGUCACUCGGGCCAGCCCGGCUUUCACCAGCAGCGUGGCUCCGCCCACAGCCCACGCCCUCGACUCGUGGCCACUCGGACUGACCGGCCGUGUGAAGCCGCGGGAGCCUGCGUUUGCACAGGGAUUGCCUUGAUGCUAAGCCCGUGCUUCUUGGUGACCACACAGCCUCGAUCCCAAUCAUUUCCCCGGGGGGCUCUUUCACUUGAUUAAUUAUUUCCACUGAGGAAGCUGCCAGGCGAGAGGUCGGAGUUCAUCUCCUGGCAGCCUUGCACCGAAACACGGGUAUUCUAAAAAAAAUAAAAAUAAAAAGUUUUCAGCCUUCA